RNAcentral lists this ribosomal RNA (721 nucleotides) under uncultured bacterium. RNAcentral describes it as "bacterial SSU rRNA". It matches the Rfam family "Bacterial small subunit ribosomal RNA", at positions 8 to 722 of the family's 1533-position model. The record is from RNAcentral.
AGAGUUUGAUCCUGGCUCAGGAUGAACGCUAGCGGCAGGCUUAAUACAUGCAAGUCGAGGGGCAGCACGGGUAGCAAUACCUGGUGGCGACCGGCAAACGGGUGCGGAACACGUACACAACCUUCCCUUGAGGCGGGGGAUAGCCCAGAGAAAUUUGGAUUAAUACCCCAUAAGAUAUUGUCCCGGCAUCGGGAAGAUAUUAAAGAUUUAUCACCUUAGGAUGGGUGUGCGUAUGAUUAGGUAGUUGGUGCGGGUAACGGCCCACCAAGCCAUCGAUCAUUAACUGGUGUGAGAGCACGACCAGUCACACGGGCACUGAGACACGGGCCCGACUCCUACGGGAGGCAGCAGUAAGGAAUAUUGGUCAAUGGACGGAAGUCUGAACCAGCCAUGCCGCGUGAAGGAUGACGGCCCUCUGGGUUGUAAACUUCUUUUAUCUGGGACGAAAAAGGGCCAUUCUUGGUCAACUGACGGUACCAGAGGAAUAAGCACCGGCUAACUCCGUGCCAGCAGCCGCGGUAAUACGGAGGGUGCAAGCGUUAUCCGGAUUUACUGGGUUUAAAGGGAGCGCAGGCGGAUUGGUAAGUCAGUGGUGAAAUACCCGUGCUUAACAUGGGAACUGCCAUUGAUACUAUCAGUCUUGAAUGUUGUUGAGGUUUGCGGAAUGGGUCAUGUAGCGGUGAAAUGCAUAGAUAUGACCCGGAACACCUAUUGCGAAGGC